This 406-nucleotide ribosomal RNA is filed under the name uncultured bacterium. Its description in RNAcentral is "partial 16S ribosomal RNA". It matches the Rfam family "Bacterial small subunit ribosomal RNA", at positions 29 to 526 of the family's 1533-position model. The record is from RNAcentral.
AUUGAACGCUGGCGGCAGGCUUAACACUUGCAAGUCGAGCGAGCGGCAGACGGGUGAGUAAUGUCUGGGAAACUGCCUGAUGGCGGGGGAUAACUACUGGAAACGGUAGCUAAUACCGCAUACCAUCAGAUGUGCCCAGAUGGGAUUAGCUAGUAGGUGGGGUAAUGACUCACCUAGGCGGCGAGCCCUAGCUGGUCUGAGAGGAUGACCAGCCACACGGGAACUGAGACACGGCCCAGACUCCGACGGGAGGCAGCAGUGGGGAAUAUGGCACAAUGGGCGCAAGCUGGAGGAAGCAAUGCCGCGUGUGUGAAGAAGGCCUUCGGGUUGUAAAGUACUUUCAGCGAGGAGGCGUUACUCGCAGAAGAAGCACCGGCUAACUCCGUGCCAGCAGCCGCGGUAAUUC